Molecule: ribosomal RNA, 492 nt
Filed under: uncultured bacterium
Lineage: Bacteria
Description: partial 16S ribosomal RNA
Rfam family: Bacterial small subunit ribosomal RNA
Source: RNAcentral
AGUGAACGCUGGCGGUAGGCCUAACGCAUGCAAGUCGAACGGCAGCACAGUAAGAGCUUGCUCUUACGGGUGGCGAGUGGCGGACGGGUGAGGAAUACAUCGGAAUCUACUUUUUCGUGGGGGAUAACGUAGGGAAACUUACGCUAAUACCGCAUACGACCUACGGGUGAAAGCAGGGGAUCUUCGGACCUUGCGCGAUUGAAUGAGCCGAUGUCGGAUUAGCUAGUUGGCGGGGUAAAGGCCCACCAAGGCGACGAUCCGUAGCUGGUCUGAGAGGAUGAUAAGCCACACUGGAACUGAGACACGGUCCAGACUCCUACGGGAGGCAGCAGUGGGGAAGAUUGGACAAUGGGCGCAAGCCUGAUCCAGCCAUACCGCGUGGGUGAAGAAGGCCUUCGGGUUGUAAAGCCCUUCUGUUGGGAAAGAAAAGCAGCAGGUUAAUACCCCGCUGUUCUGACGGUACCCAAAGAAUAAGCACCGGCUAACUUCGUG